CCUACGGGAGGCAGCAGUAGGGAAUAUUGCUCAAUGGGGGAAACCCUGAAGCAGCAACGCCGCGUGGAGGAUGAAGGUUUUCGGAUUGUAAACUCCUUUUGUUAGAGAAGAUAAUGACGGUAUCUAACGAAUAAGCACCGGCUAACUCCGUGCCAGCAGCCGCGGUAAUACGGCGGGUGCAAGCGUUACUCGGAAUCACUGGGCGUAAAGAGCGCGUAGGCGGGAUAGCAAGGCAGAGGUGAAAUCUUAUGGCUUAACCAUAGAACUGCAGUCGAAACUGGUAGUCUAGAGUAUGGGAGAGGUAGGCGGAAUUCGUGGUGUAGCGGUAAAAUCCGUAGAGAUCAAGAGGAAUACUCAUUGCGAAGGCGACCUGCGAGAACAUAACUGACGCUGAUGCGCGAAAGCGUGGGUAGCAAACAGGAUUAGAUACCCCAGUAGUC
This 440-nucleotide ribosomal RNA is filed under the name uncultured bacterium. RNAcentral describes it as "partial 16S ribosomal RNA". It matches the Rfam family "Bacterial small subunit ribosomal RNA", at positions 338 to 795 of the family's 1533-position model. The record is from RNAcentral.